GCUGCGUGUGGUGGCACAUACCUGUAGUCCCAGCUACUCGGGAGGCUGAGGCAGGAGGAUUGCUUGAGCCCAGGAGUCCUGGGCUAUAGUACACUAUGCCAGUCUGAUGUCCGCAUAAAGUUUGGCAUAGUAUGGUGACCUUGACUUCCCUGCAGCAAGGGACCACCAGGUUGCCUAAGGAGGAGUGAACUAGCUCAGGUUGGAAACAGAGUAGGUCAGUACUCUGGUGCUGCUUAGUAGCAGGAUCACACCUGGCAAUAGCCACUGCAGUCUAGCCUGGGCAACAUAGCUAGACCCUGUCUUAG
This is an unclassified non-coding RNA of Macaca fascicularis (crab-eating macaque), 305 nucleotides long. It matches the Rfam family "Metazoan signal recognition particle RNA". From Rfam's summary of the family: The signal recognition particle (SRP) is a universally conserved ribonucleoprotein. It is involved in the co-translational targeting of proteins to membranes. The record is from Ensembl. NCBI's taxonomy places the organism in Eukaryota, Metazoa, Chordata, Mammalia, Primates, Cercopithecidae.